UACAGAGGUCCCAAGCGUUGUUCGGAUUCAUUGGGCGUAAAGGGUGCGUAGGCUGCGCCAUAAGUCGGAUGUGAAAUCUCGGGGCUCAACCCUGAAACUGCAUUCGAUACUGUGGUGCUAGAGGACUCUAGAGGAAACUGGAAUUCACGGUGUAGCAGUGAAAUGCGUAGAUAUCGUGAGGAACACCAGAGGCGAAGGCGGUUACCUGGACAGUUACUGACGCUCAGGCACGAAAGCAUGGGGAGCAAAAGGG
This 253-nucleotide ribosomal RNA is filed under the name uncultured bacterium. RNAcentral's name for it is "partial 16S ribosomal RNA". It matches the Rfam family "Bacterial small subunit ribosomal RNA", at positions 524 to 776 of the family's 1533-position model. The record is from RNAcentral.